RNAcentral lists this ribosomal RNA (442 nucleotides) under uncultured bacterium. RNAcentral describes it as "partial 16S ribosomal RNA". It matches the Rfam family "Bacterial small subunit ribosomal RNA", at positions 338 to 795 of the family's 1533-position model. The record is from RNAcentral.
CCUACGGGAGGCAGCAGUGAGGGAUAUUGCACAAUGGAGGAAACCCUGAUGCAGCGACGCCGCGUGUACGAAGAAGUAUUUCGGUAUGUAAAGCCCUAUCAGCAGGGAGGCAGAAAUAGCGAUACCUGAGUAAGAAGCACCAGCUAAAUACGUGCCAGCAGCCGCGGUAAUACGUAUGGUGCAGGCGUUAUCCGGAUUUACGGGGUGUAAAGGGAGCGCAGGCGGCACGGCAAGCCUGAUGUGAAAGCCCGCGGCUCAACCGCGGGACUGCAGUGGGAACUACCGGGCUGGAGUGCCGGGGAGGUAGGCGGAAUUCUUAGUGUAGCGGUGAAAUGCGUAGAUAUCAGGAGGAACACCAGUGGCGAAGGCGGCCUACUGGACGGUGACUGACGCUGAGGCUCGAAAGCGUGGGGAGCAAACAGGAUUAGAUACCCUGGUAGUC